GAUGAACGCUGGCGGCGUGCCUAAUACAUGCAAGUCGAGCGAACGGACGAGAAGCUUGCUUCUCUGAUGUUAGCGGCGGACGGGUGAGUAACACGUGGAUAACCUACCUAUAAGACUGGGAUAACUUCGGGAAACCGGAGCUAAUACCGGAUAAUAUUUUGAACCGCAUGGUUCAACAGUGAAAGACGGUCUUGCUGUCACUUAUAGAUGGAUCCGCGCUGCAUUAGCUAGUUGGUAAGGUAACGGCUUACCAAGGCAACGAUGCAUAGCCGACCUGAGAGGGUGGUCGGCCACACUGGAACUGAGACACGGUCCAGACUCCUACGGGAGGCAGCAGUAGGGAAUCUUCCGCAAUGGGCGAAAGCCUGACGGAGCAACGCCGCGUGAGUGAUGAAGGUCUUCGGAUCGUAAAACUCUGUUAUUAGGGAAGAACAUAUGUGUAAGUAACUGUGCACAUCUUGACGGUACCUAAUCAGAAAGCCACGGCUAACUACGUG
This 497-nucleotide ribosomal RNA is filed under the name uncultured bacterium. RNAcentral describes it as "partial 16S ribosomal RNA". It matches the Rfam family "Bacterial small subunit ribosomal RNA", at positions 28 to 507 of the family's 1533-position model. The record is from RNAcentral.